UGAGAGGGUGAUCGGCCACACUGGGACUGAGACACGGCCCAGACUCCUACGGGAGGCAGCAGUAGGGAAUCUUGGGCAAUGGACGAAAGUCUGACCGAGACACGCCGCGUGAGUGAAGAAGGUUUUCGGAUCGUAAAACUCUGUUGUUAGAGAAGAACAAGGAUGAGAGUAGAACGUUCAUCCCUUGACGGUAUCUAACCAGAAAGCCACGGGCUAACUACGUGCCAGCAGCCGCGGUAAUACGUAGGUGGCAAGCGUUGUCCGGAUUUAUUGGGCGUAAAGCGAGCGCAGGCGGUUUCUUAAGUCUGAUGUGAAAGCCCCCGGCUCAACCGGGGAGGGUCAUUGGAAACUGGGAGACUUGAGUGCAGAAGAGGAGAGUGGAAUUCCAUGUGUAGCGGUGAAAUGCGUAGAUAUAUGGAGGAACACCAGUGGCGAAGGCGGCUCUCUGGUCUGUAACUGACGCUGAGGCUCGAAAGCGUGGGGAGCGAAACAGGAUUAGAUACCCUGGUAGUCCACGCCGUAACGAUGAGUGCUAAGUGUUGGAGGGUUUCCGCCCUUCAGUGCUGCAGCAAACGCAUUAAGCACUCCGCCUGGGGAGUACGACCGCAAGGUUGAAACUCAAAGGAAUUGACGGGGGCCCGCACAAGCGGUGGAGCAUGUGGUUUAAUUCGAAGCAACGCGAAGAACCUUACCAGGUCUUGACAUCCUUUGACCACUCUAGAGAUGUAGCUUCUCCUUCGGGGGCAAAGUGACAGGUGGUGCAUGGUUGUCGUCAGCUCGUGUCGUGAGAUGUUGGGUUAAGUCCCGCAACGAGCGCAACCCUUAUUGUUAGUUGCCAUCAUUUAGUUGGGCACUCUAGCGAGACUGCCGGUGACAAACCGGAGGAAGGUGGGGAUGACGUCAAAUCAUCAUGCCCCUUAUGACCUGGGCUACACACGUGCUACAAUGGGAAGUACAACGAGUUGCGAAGUCGCGAGGCUAAGCUAAUCUCUUAAAGCUUCUCUCAGUUCGGAUUGUAGGCUGCAACUCGCCUACAUGAAGCCGGAAUCGCUAGUAAUCGCGGAUCAG
This 1068-nucleotide ribosomal RNA is filed under the name Enterococcus gallinarum. RNAcentral's name for it is "bacterial SSU rRNA". It matches the Rfam family "Bacterial small subunit ribosomal RNA", at positions 293 to 1352 of the family's 1533-position model. The record is from RNAcentral. Lineage: Bacteria; Bacillati; Bacillota; Bacilli; Lactobacillales; Enterococcaceae.